RNAcentral lists this ribosomal RNA (476 nucleotides) under uncultured bacterium. RNAcentral's name for it is "partial 16S ribosomal RNA". It matches the Rfam family "Bacterial small subunit ribosomal RNA", at positions 28 to 506 of the family's 1533-position model. The record is from RNAcentral.
GAUGAACGCUGGCGGCGUGCCUAACACAUGCAAGUCGAACGAAGCACCUUACCUGAUUCUUCGGAUGAGAGUUUGGUGACUGAGUGGCGGACGGGUGAGUAACGCGUGGGUAACCUGCCCUGUACAGGGGGAUAACAGCUGGAAACGGCUGCUAAUACCGCAUAAGCGCACGAGGAGACAUCUCCUUGUGUGAAAAACUCCGGUGGUACAGGAUGGGCCCGCGUCUGAUUAGCUGGUUGGCAGGGUAACGGCCUACCAAGGCAACGAACAGUAGCCGGUCUGAGAGGAUGAACGGCCACAUUGGAACUGGGACAAGUGCCGAACUCCGGCGAGAGGCAGCAGUGGGGAAUAUGGCACAAUGGGGGAAACACUGAUGCAGCAACGCUGCGUGAGUGAAGAAGUAUGUAGGUAAGUAAAUCUCUAUCAGCAGGGAAGAUAAGAACGGUACCUAACUAAGAAGCCCCGGCAAAAUACGG